AAGUCGUAACAAGGUUUCCGUAGGUGAACCUGCGGAAGGAUCAUUAUUGAAUAUUCCUGAUGAGUUGUAGCUGGCUCUUUGGAGCAUGUGCACGCUUGUCUUGAUCUUAUUCAUCCACCUGUGCACAUUUUGUAGUCUUUUGGGCUGAGUCGAGUAUCGGAUGGAUGUCUAUCCGGAUGUGAGGACUGCUGAGUGCGAAAGCAUACGGCUCUUCUCUGUUUGACCUCACCCUUGAGUACUAUGUAUUCAUAUACCACAUAAUAGUAUGUUGUAGAAUGUGAUCAUUGGGCCUUUGUGCCUAUAAUAAUCAUAUACAACUUUCAGCAACGGAUCUCUUGGCUCUC
This 344-nucleotide unclassified non-coding RNA is filed under the name Apioperdon pyriforme. RNAcentral's name for it is "Lycoperdon pyriforme partial internal transcribed spacer region". The stretch from base 1 to 46 matches the Rfam family "Eukaryotic small subunit ribosomal RNA", at positions 1786 to 1831 of the family's 1831-position model. The record is from RNAcentral. Lineage: Eukaryota; Fungi; Basidiomycota; Agaricomycetes; Agaricales; Lycoperdaceae.